RNAcentral lists this ribosomal RNA (253 nucleotides) under uncultured bacterium. Its description in RNAcentral is "partial 16S ribosomal RNA". It matches the Rfam family "Bacterial small subunit ribosomal RNA", at positions 524 to 776 of the family's 1533-position model. The record is from RNAcentral.
UACGUGGGGGGCUAGCGUUGUCCGGAUUUAUUGGGCGUAAAGAGCGUGUAGGCGGCCAGAUAGGUCCGUUGUGAAAACUGGAGGCUUAACCUCCAGCUGUCGAUGGAAACCAUCUGGCUAGAGUCCGGAAGAGGAGAGUGGAAUUCCUGGUGUAGCGGUGAAAUGCGCAGAUAUCAGGAAGAACACCCGUGGCGAAGGCGGCUCUCUGGGACGGUACUGACGCUGAGACGCGAAAGCGUGGGGAGCGAACAGG